UAGAAAUGAGUUUUUUCAACUCUUUUAUGCUAUUAAGUUUGCUUCUUUUUGUUGUGGCUCCGGUUCAUGGCUUAAAUUUAAGGAAGCUUGAUGAGACCACUGUUCCUGGACCGACUGAAGAGAAGUGCUCGCCAUGUAAUCCAAGUCCUCCACCACCGUCACUUCCACCAGUAGUAUAUCCCUCACCACCACCACCAUCACCACCUCCACCAUCACCAGUAUUAUACCCCCCACCACCACCUGCACCAGUGCUGCCACCACCGACUCCAAAGAAGCCGCCAUCAGGUUACAACUGCCCUCCACCUCCAGCCCCAUCAAAAUAUGAUCUUUACAUAACUGGUCCACCAGGGGAA
This 353-nucleotide long non-coding RNA is filed under the name Populus trichocarpa (black cottonwood). RNAcentral describes it as "long non-coding RNA (PTRI_LNC002152)". The record is from RNAcentral. Lineage: Eukaryota; Viridiplantae; Streptophyta; Magnoliopsida; Malpighiales; Salicaceae.